AUACGGAGGAUGCAAGCGUUAUCCGGAUUUAUUGGGUUUAAAGGGUGCGUAGGCGGUUUGCUAAGCGGGAGGUGAAAUGCCGGCGCUCAACGUCGGAAGUGCCUCCCGAACUGGUGGACUUGAAUGACUCUGCCGUGGGAGGAAUGUGUAGUGUAGCGGUGAAAUGCUUAGAGAUUACACAGAACACCGAUUGCGAAGGCAUCUCACGAAGGGUUGAUUGACGCUGAGGCACGAGAGCGUGGGGAUCAAACAGGAUUAGAUACCCUGGUAGUCCACGCAGUAAACGAUGAUGGCUAACCGCUGGUUUAUUCGGAUCAGUGGCCAAGCGAAAGCGAUAAGCCAUCCACCUGGGGAGUACGACCGCAAGGUUGAAACUCAAAUGAAUUGGCGGGG
Molecule: ribosomal RNA, 393 nt
Filed under: uncultured bacterium
Lineage: Bacteria
Description: partial 16S ribosomal RNA
Rfam family: Bacterial small subunit ribosomal RNA
Source: RNAcentral